CUAAUUUGUAGGAGGCCUCUGAGUUUUGCGGAGCGACCUCGACUGGCAAAACCUAGGAUUCGUGGCAUGGCGGCGCCGCUCUUCCCUCAAGCAAGGCACUGCUGCAGUGCAGGGCUAGUUCUCAGCAACGAUCAUGGGGUGCAGCGGGAGUUUUUUUCAAUUGGAGGCUUUUCUGGUCGGAGGCUUCUCUGAUCGUUUUCUGGAAUCGAUCCACCAUUCGGUGAGGGCGGAUUGUUGCUUCGAUUUGGGCGGCGUCCGGGUGUUGAGGAUUAGAAUAUGAGGGAGGUGGCGUCUGAUUGCGGCGAACGGCAUUUGAUUGCGGCGGGCUUCCGGGUGAUUUGGGCUGUGAGAUUGUAGUUGAGGGGAUCAGGUUGCGUCGGAAAAGGGAGGCGGCAUCUGCUUGCUAAGGUAGGUCCGGGUCAGGGGCUUCUCUUUCGAACGACGAUGGUGGAGGAGUGAAGCCAGCCACCAGAGUGAUGGGUGGACGGC
This 489-nucleotide long non-coding RNA is filed under the name Rosa chinensis. Its description in RNAcentral is "sRNA RchiOBHm_Chr6g0292751". Lineage: Eukaryota; Viridiplantae; Streptophyta; Magnoliopsida; Rosales; Rosaceae. The record is from RNAcentral.